UACGUAGGGUGCGAGCGUUAAUCGGAAUUACUGGGCGUAAAGCGUGCGCAGGCGGCGCGUUUAAGACAGGUGUGAAAGCCCCGAGCUUAACUUGGGAAUUGCGCUUGUGACUGGCGUGCUGGAGUGUGGCAGAGGGGAGGUGGAAUUCCACGUGUAGCAGUGAAAUGCGUAGAGAUGUGGAGGAACACCGAUGGCGAAGGCAGCCCCCCUGGGUCAAGAUUGACGCUCAUGCACGAAAGCGUGGGGAGCAAACAGG
RNAcentral lists this ribosomal RNA (256 nucleotides) under uncultured bacterium. Its description in RNAcentral is "partial 16S ribosomal RNA". It matches the Rfam family "Bacterial small subunit ribosomal RNA", at positions 524 to 776 of the family's 1533-position model. The record is from RNAcentral.